Molecule: small nuclear RNA, 106 nt
Organism: Octodon degus (degu)
Lineage: Eukaryota; Metazoa; Chordata; Mammalia; Rodentia; Octodontidae
Source: Ensembl
GUGCUCGCUUCAGCAGCACAUACACUAAACCUGGGACUGUACGAGAAGGUUAGCAUAGGCCCUAUGCAAGGAUGACAUGCAAAUUCCUGAAAUGGUCCAUACUUUU